RNAcentral lists this ribosomal RNA (253 nucleotides) under uncultured bacterium. RNAcentral describes it as "partial 16S ribosomal RNA". It matches the Rfam family "Bacterial small subunit ribosomal RNA", at positions 524 to 776 of the family's 1533-position model. The record is from RNAcentral.
UACGUAGGGGGCAAGCGUUAUCCGGAAUCAUUGGGCGUAAAGCGCGUGUAGGCGGUUCCGUAAGUCCGCUCUGAAAGCCCAGGGCUCAACCCUGGGAGGCGGGUGGAUACUACGGAACUGGAGUACGGAAGAGGAGAUUGGAAUUCCUGGUGUAGCGGUGAAAUGCGCAGAUAUCAGGAGGAACACCAACAGCGAAGGCAGAUCUCUGGGACGUUACUGACGCUGAGACGCGAAAGCAUGGGGAGCGAACAAG